CUUGAAUCUGGCAGAUCUGCAAAUGAAGCUACAAAUUUUUCACCAGGAAACCUCAUAUGAAAACAUUCUAGCCAGUCGGGCAAAGAAUGGAAUGAUCCUGGCUGGUUUUGAAGAUGCAAAUGGAACCACAUGGCUAUCAAUCUUGCAGCAGUAUUAUUUCAAAAACAUAUUUCCAGACCAUCAAAAGUUUAUGAUGCAACCAACAAGCCUGUCACUAAACUGGAGAACAUGGAUGUUUACCUCUCAUGGUGAAUCAAAGACAGCUAUCCUUUUCUUUUACGGCUGUACAUUGCUCUGGGGUUACCCAACCUAUCUC
Anolis sagrei ordinatus is the source of this 316-nucleotide non-coding RNA. The record is from RefSeq and is a predicted model, not a curated record. Lineage: Eukaryota; Metazoa; Chordata; Lepidosauria; Squamata; Anolidae.